Long non-coding RNA from Setaria italica (foxtail millet), 1058 nucleotides. RefSeq lists it as uncharacterized. The record is from RefSeq and is a predicted model, not a curated record. NCBI's taxonomy places the organism in Eukaryota, Viridiplantae, Streptophyta, Magnoliopsida, Poales, Poaceae. The transcript is spliced from 3 exons.
AUUUUUCAUAUCCCUAUUCUUAUUUUUCAUAUUCCAUAAUUUGAGCUCUUUAGGCUUGUUGAACUUUACAAUUGUUCUUAUGUUUGAUAAUUUCUGGUAAUGGGAAUUGCGACCAGGCUCCUCAACACAGCUAUCAUCUUUCUAAUGAAUAGGAUAUCAUGAUUUGUGUCUGGAUAUGUUGGGCUUAGCGUGUAAUCAAUUUUGAAUUGGAUUUAUAAUUUUUCCAGUUAGAUCUAUUAUUUCUCUUAAGAAUGCUGAUAGGAACCACUCUAGCCAGUGAUGCAUAGAUUUCCUAUUCUGAUUUUGGUAUUCUAAUUUUUCUUCUCUUAUCAUCUGAGUGAUUAAUUGAUUCCUACUCCUAAACUCUCAUGUGAGUGAAGAUAUGUUCUGCAAACUCCUUCAAGAACCACUCCAAGCUAGGUCCUCUCCUUCGCAUGGGUUUUCACCUGGUUCACCGCACGUCGCACAAAACUGACGUUGGGGAGACGAACAGACGUUUAAUUGGAGAGAGGGUCAAAGCAUCUUCGGCAGGCAUGACUAUGUGACUGCUCAACUAGAAGGAUCGAUCCAAAGAGCUGCAUGCUGAGACAUUGUACUACCUCACUUUUCAUAAGCAGAACAAGAUUGUCACGCUGCCUGACGAAAUACUUCAAUACCGUCGAGAUGAUCAUCACCCUUUUUUCUAUCAAUUUUUUUUGUUUCAUUACAACCUUUUCCUAUUUCAAUUUUUAUUCAUUUGUACCUCUACAGAUUUCACAUUCUAUGUCUACUUGAAUAGUCUUCUGAAAUGUUGUGUAUCUUGUCGGGGCAAUUGGCGGUUCGCAAAGCUUAUGCGAGAAUUGGCUCGCGAGAUAGGUGUGGCUGGAGUCAUUUGUUACCAUGUAGUACACUUUUGAGGAGACAUGUCUUGAUGUAGUUUUUUGUUCUGUUUUAAGCAUGUAUGCCUCUCCUACGAGGCCGCUGCACCUGGCUUUCCUAUCACUAUUGCUUUCCUCUUGCUACUGCAAUGGAAAUGUGACACCAGUAAUGUAGCACAAGGUUUCACCUUUUUUGUCGUA